RNAcentral lists this ribosomal RNA (253 nucleotides) under uncultured bacterium. RNAcentral's name for it is "partial 16S ribosomal RNA". It matches the Rfam family "Bacterial small subunit ribosomal RNA", at positions 524 to 776 of the family's 1533-position model. The record is from RNAcentral.
UACAGAGGUCCCAAGCGUUGUUCGGAUUCAUUGGGCGUAAAGGGUGCGUAGGUGGCGCCGUAAGUCAGGUGUGAAAUUUCGGAGCUCAACUCCGAAACUGCAUUUGAUACUGCCGUGCUCGAGGACUGGAGAGGAGACUGGAAUUUACGGUGUAGCAGUGAAAUGCGUAGAUAUCGUAAGGAAGACCAGUGGCGAAGGCGGGUCUCUGGACAGUUCCUGACGCUGAGGCACGAAGGCCAGGGGAGCAAACGGG